This 497-nucleotide ribosomal RNA is filed under the name uncultured bacterium. Its description in RNAcentral is "partial 16S ribosomal RNA". It matches the Rfam family "Bacterial small subunit ribosomal RNA", at positions 28 to 507 of the family's 1533-position model. The record is from RNAcentral.
GACGAACGCUGGCGGCGUGCCUAAUACAUGCAAGUUGAGCGCUGAAGGUUGGUACUUGUACCAACUGGAUGAGCAGCGAACGGGUGAGUAACGCGUGGGGAAUCUGCCUUUGAGCGGGGGACAACAUUUGGAAACGAAUGCUAAUACCGCAUAAAAACUUUAAACACAAGUUUUAAGUUUGAAAGAUGCAAUUGCAUCACUCAAAGAUGAUCCCGCGUUGUAUUAGCUAGUUGGUGAGGUAAAGGCUCACCAAGGCGAUGAUACAUAGCCGACCUGAGAGGGUGAUCGGCCAAAUUGGGACUGAGACACGGCCCAAACUCCUACGGGAGGCAGCAGUAGGGAAUCUUCGGCAAUGGACGAAAGUCUGACCGAGCAACGCCGCGUGAGUGAAGAAGGUUUUCGGAUCGUAAAACUCUGUUGGUAGAGAAGAACGUUGGUGAGAGUGGAAAGCUCAUCAAGUAACGGUAACUACCCAGAAAGGGACGGCUAACUACGUG